GGCGAGAGCGCUGUAAUUGUGUAUGUUGGCGUGGGUCGCGCAGUUUUGCAGGCGUUAGGUGUCGUGUAACGGGUGGGAUACUUCUUUGUUUAAAUGUUUCAUCUCCAAAACGUGGAAGAAAUGGACAGAAAUAAUGAGCAGGGUUUACCAACUUAUACCUACCUCUCAAACGUACCUCAUCUGGGUUCUUCUAAAGUUAAUGUUCAUUGAGGUACCACAUUGAAAGGGAUCUCAUUACGAGGAACGUACCUACCUCAUUUGGGGAUUUUGUUCCUCGAAGUUCCACAUUGAAAGG
Molecule: long non-coding RNA, 295 nt
Organism: Protopterus annectens (West African lungfish)
Lineage: Eukaryota; Metazoa; Chordata; Ceratodontiformes; Protopteridae
Exons: 2
Source: RefSeq, a predicted model, not a curated record